AGCGAACGCUGGCGGCAGGCCUAACACAUGCAAGUCGAACGAACCUUUCGGGGUUAGUGGCGGACGGGUGAGUAACACGUGGGAACGUGCCUUUAGGUUCGGAAUAACUCAGGGAAACUUGUGCUAAUACCGAAUGUGCCCUUCGGGGGAAAGAGUUAUCGCCUUUAGAGCGGCCCGCGUCUGAUUAGCUAGUUGGUUGAGGUAAUGGCUCACCAAGGCGACGAUCAGUAGCUGGUCUGAGAGGAUGAUCAGCCACAUUGGGACUGAGACACGGCCCAAACUCCUACGGGAGGCAGCAGUGGGGAAUCUUGCGCAAUGGGCGAAAGCCUGACGCAGCCAUGCCGCGUGAAUGAUGAAGGUCUUAGGAUUGUAAAAUUCUUUCACCGGGGACGAUAAUGACGGUACCCGGAGAAGAAGCCCCGGCUAACUUCGUG
RNAcentral lists this ribosomal RNA (434 nucleotides) under uncultured bacterium. RNAcentral describes it as "partial 16S ribosomal RNA". It matches the Rfam family "Bacterial small subunit ribosomal RNA", at positions 29 to 507 of the family's 1533-position model. The record is from RNAcentral.